GAAGCUUUACUGUAUCUUGGAAUUGGGUUUGGUCUUUACUUGCGCAGGAUAGGUGGGAGGCUUUGAAGAUGAUCUCGCGGGAUCGUUGGAGCCACUGGUGAGAUACCACUCUUGUUAUGAUAAAAUCCUAACUUUGAACCGUUAUCCGGUCAGAGAACAGUUUCAGGUGGGCAGUUUGACUGGGGCGGUCGCCUCCUUAAAGGUAACGGAGGCGUGCAAAGGUUCCCUCAGGCUGGUUGGACAUCAGUCGUAGAGUGUAAAGGCAUAAGGGAGCUUGACUGCGAGACCAACAAGUCGAGCAGAGACGAAAGUCGGCCUUAGUGAUCCGGCGCUUCCGAGUGGAAGGGGCGUCGCUCAACGGAUAAAAGUUACUCUAGG
This 378-nucleotide ribosomal RNA is filed under the name Dinophysis acuminata. Its description in RNAcentral is "LSU rRNA". It matches the Rfam family "Bacterial large subunit ribosomal RNA", at positions 2095 to 2472 of the family's 2925-position model. The record is from RNAcentral. Lineage: Eukaryota; Dinophyceae; Dinophysales; Dinophysaceae.